GCAGUAUGUAACUGAUAGAAGCGGUGUAC
This 29-nucleotide non-coding RNA is filed under the name Homo sapiens (human). Lineage: Eukaryota; Metazoa; Chordata; Mammalia; Primates; Hominidae. The record is from RNAcentral.